RNAcentral lists this ribosomal RNA (452 nucleotides) under uncultured bacterium. RNAcentral describes it as "bacterial SSU rRNA". It matches the Rfam family "Bacterial small subunit ribosomal RNA", at positions 340 to 786 of the family's 1533-position model. The record is from RNAcentral.
UACGGGAGGCAGCAGUGGGGAAUAUUGCACAAUGGGCGCAAGCCUGAUGCAGCCAUGCCGCGUGUAUGAAGAAGGCCUUCGGGUUGUAAAGUACUUUCAGUCGUGAGGAAGGUGUUAAGGUUAAUAACCUUAGCAAUUGACGUUAGCGACAGAAGAAGCACCGGCUAACUCCGUGCCAGCAGCCGCGGUAAUACGGAGGGUGCGAGCGUUAAUCGGAAUUACUGGGCGUAAAGGGCACGCAGGCGGUUAAUUAAGUUGGAUGUGAAAUCCCCGGGCUUAACCUGGGAAUGGCAUUCAAGACUGGUUAGCUAGAGUCUUGUAGAGGGGGUAGAAUUCCAUGUGUAGCGGUGAAAUGCGUAGAGAUGUGGAGGAAUACCGGUGGCGAAGGCGGCCCCUGGACAAAGACUGACGCUCAUGUGCGAAAGCGUGGGGAGCAAACAGGGAUUGAUACC